RNAcentral lists this unclassified non-coding RNA (385 nucleotides) under uncultured Rozellomycota. RNAcentral describes it as "uncultured Cryptomycota sequence contains ITS1". The stretch from base 1 to 102 matches the Rfam family "5.8S ribosomal RNA", at positions 51 to 154 of the family's 154-position model. Lineage: Eukaryota; Fungi; Rozellomycota. The record is from RNAcentral.
AAGUGCGAAAUGUAAUGCGAUUUGCAUGAAUCUGUGAGUCAUCUAAUCUUUGAACGCAACUUGCGCCCUCCAGCGAUGGAUGGCAUGUCUGUUUGAGUACGACAACCAACUGUGCCUUUUUGGUGCGAGGUGGCCUGCGUGCGCGUGGCGUGCAGCGGGCUGAAAAGGAGCCAGUCAGGCUGGGCAGUCUGGCAGUGUGCUAGAGACCAAGGGCAUGCGUGCGGGGACUGCGGAAUGUGGAGAGGUGCGGAUGGUGGACCAUCGUCUGCGCUGAUCUGCACUCUGCCCGCCGCGUUCGCAUGUCGCUGUCUUGUCGCUGCCGGCACCAACCAGCUCACACUACAUCUUCCGUCUCAAAUCAGGCAAGACGACCCGCUGAACUUAA